This 285-nucleotide unclassified non-coding RNA is filed under the name Nectriaceae sp. RNAcentral's name for it is "partial contains 5.8S ribosomal RNA, internal transcribed spacer 2, and large subunit ribosomal RNA". Lineage: Eukaryota; Fungi; Ascomycota; Sordariomycetes; Hypocreales; Nectriaceae. The record is from RNAcentral.
CGCACAUUGCGCCCGCCAGUAUUCUGGCGGGCAUGCCUGUUCGAGCGUCAUUUCAACCCUCAAGCCCCCCGGGCUUGGUGUUGGGGAUCGGCACAAGGCCGCGCUGGCACCUUCGGGAGCCGCGUGCCCGCCGUCCCUCAAAUCCAGUGGCGGUUCGCGCCGCGUGUACCUCAGCGUAGUAGCAACACCUCGCUCCGGAACCCUUCUGCGAACCACGCCGUAAAACCCCCGACUUUUUUUUUAUAAGUUGACCUCGAAUCAGGUAGGACUACCCGCUGAACUUAA